UUAUGUAUAUAUAUGUAAUAUUUUUUGUAUAUAUAUUUCUGGUCUAGCUAAUGUAUAUAAAUACAUAAUUAAUCAAUGCCGUUCUCGAUCUAUACUUAGCAGCGCUGGCCGGAGAGAUCAGGAAAGAAGAUCGACGUGGGAUGUUGGAGGCCCCCGCGCUCGAUCUGGCCGUGGCCCGCGGCGGCGGCGUUGGAGGAGGGGCACGGCGGCGCU
This 213-nucleotide long non-coding RNA is filed under the name Sorghum bicolor (sorghum). Its description in RNAcentral is "long non-coding RNA (SBIC_LNC009903)". The record is from RNAcentral. Lineage: Eukaryota; Viridiplantae; Streptophyta; Magnoliopsida; Poales; Poaceae.